CUACGGGCCGCACCAGUCGAGAAUUUUUCACAAUGGGGGAAACCCUGAUGGAGCGACGCCGCGUGGAGGAUGACGGUUUUCGGAUUGUAAACUCCUGUCAUUAGAGAACAAGGCACACGGUUUAACUGGCCGUGUGUUGAUAGUAUCUGAAGAGGAAGAGACGGCUAACUCUGUGCCAGCAGCCGCGGUAAUACAGAGGUCUCAAGCGUUGUUCGGAUUCAUUGGGCGUAAAGGGUGCGUAGGUGGCGAUGUAAGUCGGAUGUGAAAUCUCCAAGCUUAACUUGGAAACUGCAUUCGAUACUGCGUUGCUCGAGGACUGUAGAGGGCAUUGGAAUUCACGGUGUAGCAGUGAAAUGCGUAGAUAUCGUGAGGAAGACCAGUGGCGAAGGCGAAUGCCUGGGCAGUUCCUGACACUGAGGCACGAAGGCCAGGGGAGCAAACGGGAUUAGAUACCCCUGUAGUC
RNAcentral lists this ribosomal RNA (463 nucleotides) under uncultured bacterium. RNAcentral describes it as "partial 16S ribosomal RNA". It matches the Rfam family "Bacterial small subunit ribosomal RNA", at positions 339 to 795 of the family's 1533-position model. The record is from RNAcentral.